UACGUAGGAGACGAGCGUUGUCCGGAGUUACUGGGCGUAAAGGGUGCGCAGGUGGUUGUGCGCGUGAGGGGUGAAAUCGCCCGGCUUAACUGGGCGGGGGCCUUCCAGACGGCGUGACUUGAGGCGCGGAGGGGGACGUGGAAUUCCGGGUGGAGCGGUGAAAUGCGUAGAGAUCCGGAGGAACACCGACGGCGCAGGCAGCGUCCUGGCCGCGACCUGACGCUCAGGCACGAAAGCGCGGGGAGCGAACAGG
RNAcentral lists this ribosomal RNA (253 nucleotides) under uncultured bacterium. Its description in RNAcentral is "partial 16S ribosomal RNA". It matches the Rfam family "Bacterial small subunit ribosomal RNA", at positions 524 to 776 of the family's 1533-position model. The record is from RNAcentral.